This is a non-coding RNA of Paramuricea clavata, 75 nucleotides long. Lineage: Eukaryota; Metazoa; Cnidaria; Anthozoa; Malacalcyonacea; Plexauridae. The record is from the annotation of a GenBank genome assembly.
GCCUCUGUGGCUCAGUUGGUUAUAGAGCGCCGCACCGGAAUCGCAGGGCCGUAGGUUCGAUUCCUACCAGAGGAC